RNAcentral lists this ribosomal RNA (367 nucleotides) under Theileria luwenshuni. Its description in RNAcentral is "SSU rRNA". It matches the Rfam family "Eukaryotic small subunit ribosomal RNA", at positions 487 to 888 of the family's 1831-position model. Lineage: Eukaryota; Apicomplexa; Aconoidasida; Piroplasmida; Theileriidae. The record is from RNAcentral.
GAUUCGGGUGCUUAUGUCUUGUAUUGGAUGAUGGGAAUUUAAACCUCUUCCAGAGUAUCAAUUGGAGGGCAAGUCUGGUGCCAGCAGCCGCGGUAAUUCCAGCUCCAAUAGCGUAUAUUAAAAUUGUUGCAGUUAAAAAGCUCGUAGUUGAAUUUCUGCUGCAUUGCAUCUUCUUUUUGAUGAGUUGGUGUAUUGUGGCUUAUUUCGGAUGAUACUUGUAUUAUCCGGAUGAUUACUUUGAGAAAAUUAGAGUGCUCAAAGCAGGCUUUUGCCUUGAAUAGUUUAGCAUGGAAUAAUAAAGUAGGACUUUGGUUCUAUUUUGUUGGUUUUAGGUACCAAAGUAAUGGUUAAUAGAGACAGUUGGGAG